Molecule: unclassified non-coding RNA, 228 nt
Filed under: Hevea brasiliensis (rubber tree)
Lineage: Eukaryota; Viridiplantae; Streptophyta; Magnoliopsida; Malpighiales; Euphorbiaceae
Source: RNAcentral
AAAAAAAGUUGGCUUAUCUUUCAACUAAGAGCUACUACUCAAAGAGGUAGUGCUUGUCCACGGCCUCAGAAACAUCCCAGGUGCAUUUCAUGCCAUUUGGGAACACCACCAGGUCACCAGCCCCGAUCUCCACAAAGUCGUCAUGCCCAUCGGGGAAAACCUUCACCUUGCCCUCAAGCAGAUAACAUGUCUCCUUCGCCGUAUAAGUCCAUGGGAAUUUGCUUGGAG